Molecule: ribosomal RNA, 282 nt
Filed under: uncultured archaeon
Lineage: Archaea
Description: partial 16S ribosomal RNA
Rfam family: Archaeal small subunit ribosomal RNA
Source: RNAcentral
UUUUAUUAGAUACCCCCGGUAGUCCUAGCCGUAAACGAUACUCGCUAGGUGUCGGCCACGGUGCGACCGUUGUCGGUGCCGUAGGGAAGCNGUGUAAGNGCAGCCACCUGGGAAGUACGGCCGCAAGGCUGAAACUUAAAGGAAUUGGCGGGGGAGCACCACAACGGGUGGAGCUUGCGGUUUAAUUGGAUUCAACGCCGGACAUCUCACCGGGGGCGACAGCAAAAUGAUGGCCAGGUUGAUGACCUUGCUUGACUAGCUGAGAGGGGGGUGCAUGGCAGA